UACGUAGGGUGCGAGCGUUGUCCGGAAUUAUUGGGCGUAAAGAGCUUGUAGGCGGUUUUGUCGCGUCUGCUGUGAAAAUCCGGGGCUCAACCCCGGACUUGCAGUGGGUACGGGCAGACUGAGAGUGUGGUAGGGGAGACUGGGAAGUUCCUGGUGUAGCGGUGAAAUGCGCGAGAUAUCGAGGAGGACACCGGGUGGCGAAGGCUGGCGACCUGGUCCGUUGACUGAC
Molecule: ribosomal RNA, 229 nt
Filed under: uncultured bacterium
Lineage: Bacteria
Description: partial 16S ribosomal RNA
Rfam family: Bacterial small subunit ribosomal RNA
Source: RNAcentral